Molecule: ribosomal RNA, 253 nt
Filed under: uncultured bacterium
Lineage: Bacteria
Description: partial 16S ribosomal RNA
Rfam family: Bacterial small subunit ribosomal RNA
Source: RNAcentral
UACGGAGGGGGCUAGCGUUGUUCGGAAUUACUGGGCGUAAAGCGCACGUAGGCGGCUUUGCAAGUUAGAGGUGAAAGCCCGGGGCUCAACUCCGGAAUUGCCUUUAAGACUGCAUCGCUAGAAUUGUGGAGAGGUAAGUGGAAUUCCGAGUGUAGAGGUGAAAUUCGUAGAUAUUCGGAAGAACACCAGUGGCGAAGGCGGCUUACUGGACACAUAUUGACGCUGAGGUGCGAAAGCGUGGGGAGCAAACAGG